Molecule: long non-coding RNA, 1516 nt
Organism: Cyprinus carpio (common carp)
Lineage: Eukaryota; Metazoa; Chordata; Actinopteri; Cypriniformes; Cyprinidae
Source: Ensembl
GUGCCUUGAUACUUCUAUUUGACAUGCAAAUCGAAUGAGAUGCAUGAGUCCUAACAUUUGGUGUCACAGGAGACCUUUGGAGACACAGUUCUAUUGAUCUUCCUGGCACCGGCCACAAAAAGAGAAAGAAACAGAGAGAGAGAGAGAGAGAAAGAUGGCUGCCAGAUCUAUCUGUGUGCUGGUCAUCUCUGCAGUGGUGAUCAGUGCAACUGGAAUGCUGGCAUCUUGGAUAAUGAGGUUUCAACAAUCUGAGAUUAGAACAAAGUCUUCCAUAAAUUCAUUCACAUUUAACUCAGAUGCAACUCGAACAGAGAUGACAACAUUAGUGAGUGCAUCAGAUGGUGUGUCGAACACGCAGAAGGCACAAAUAAUCACAAAUAUUCCUGGAACUGCAUCAGUGAAUAUGAUGUCUGGAUCAUCUGUGGUAUCAAGAGCUUCAUCCGUUGCUAUUGCCGAACCCUCUCGGCAAACAACAGCUGAGACGGCAGCAGUGAGUGCAGCUGAGGAAACAAUCGUCUCGUCUGGGACCAUAGAGAAAGUUAAGAGACACACUUCGCCUGGAACAAAAAAGACCGAAAGACAAGAAACAGCAGAAACAAUAGUCACCACAUGUACACAAAUAGAAGAAAGUGCCAAUGUGGAAACAUUGAUAAAUACAGCUCAAAAAACACCUGAACCUGAGAGAAUAAGUGAAAGUGAUAUCAUGGAAACACAUAAAAGUGAAACAGAUGUUACAAUUUUUGAGAAACCAGCAGAAAUAAGCAUCACACCCAAACAAGAAUCAGGGACAACCAGAUUUGCAGCUACAGUUAAUAUCAGGAGUGCGACUCCGGUAUCAGAGCCAGGGACCGUAAGAGCAACAAAUUUCAUUGCCAGUAAACUUAAAACUUCAAAAAUCACACCUGAAAAUAAAGCAACAACCAAAACUAGACCAGACAUUACAUUUAGGACAGAAGCGGUUAGGACUGAAACAAAAGCAGAUUUAACUGAAGGAAAACUAGCACCAACCACCAUCAUAAAAAGACCCAAAACAGCAGGAACAGGGCCAUCUAAAGUUGAAACAAGUGAAAAAAACACAGUUAGACCACGAAAAUCUCCUCAAGCUAUAGAAACUUCAAAUGGUCCAACAAUAAAUGAGGCUACUGGUAAAAAUCUUAUAACUAUGAUUCAAACUGCCACUGGAAAACAAGCAAAAACAGUGGGCACAGCUGGUACACGCAUAACAUUAAAAUCAAAUGUAUUAACGACAAUUAAAUCCAUUGUAAAUCAUUUAAACACCAUUUCACCAGAGAGACAGACUGCUAAAGUGUUUGAGAAGUUGACAACUCGGUCACACAAGUCUGUAUCGCCAUGUACAGGUAAAUGUCAAACCAAAUCUACUACUACGAAUACUACAGGCAGUCGAGGCAUGUCGGAUAAAACUUUUUAUUCUGCCAUCACUAUGGGUUGCAUCUUGGUUGUAUGUGGCCUUCUAGCUCUUGUUGUGUUUAUAAAGGAUUUUAUUGUGUCUGACUAA